Molecule: small RNA, 28 nt
Filed under: Bombyx mori (domestic silkworm)
Lineage: Eukaryota; Metazoa; Arthropoda; Insecta; Lepidoptera; Bombycidae
Description: ovarian small RNA-17715
Source: RNAcentral
GUCAGCAUGCCUCGAAGAUCAAGAAUGA